ACGCUCGACACCUACGGGAGCAGCAGUGGGGAAUAUUGCACAAUGGGGGAAACCCUGAUGCAGCGACGCCGCGUGAGCGAAGAAGUAUUUCGGUAUGUAAAGCUCUAUCAGCAGGGUAAGAUAAUGACGGUACCUGACUAAGAAGCUCCGGCUAAAUACGUGCCAGCAGCCGCGGUAAUCUGAGCGGCUGGCAAGGC
Molecule: ribosomal RNA, 197 nt
Filed under: uncultured bacterium
Lineage: Bacteria
Description: partial 16S ribosomal RNA
Rfam family: Bacterial small subunit ribosomal RNA
Source: RNAcentral